UACGGAGGGUGCGAGCGUUGUCCGGAAUCACUGGGCGUAAAGGGCGCGUAGGUGGCCUGUGGAAGUUUGCGGUGAAAGCCCGGCGCUCAACGCCGGGUCGGCCGUGGAUACUCUCGGGCUCGAGCUUACUAGAGGCAGAUGGAAUUCCGGGUGUAGCGGUGGAAUGCGUAGAGAUCCGGAAGAACACCGGUGGCGAAGGCGGUCUGCUGGGGUAAUGCUGACACUGAUGCGCGACAGCGUGGGGAGCAAACAGG
RNAcentral lists this ribosomal RNA (254 nucleotides) under uncultured bacterium. RNAcentral's name for it is "partial 16S ribosomal RNA". It matches the Rfam family "Bacterial small subunit ribosomal RNA", at positions 524 to 776 of the family's 1533-position model. The record is from RNAcentral.